ACCCGCCAGCCCCGCGCUCUACCAGGCAGAGCGCGUGUGGCCGCCGAGCACAUGGACCCACUGGUCAAGCGGGCUCGGCAAGGCCAGGAUGAAGAGAAGCUACGAACUUAGCAUUCCCAGAGCCCCCCGAGUGGAUAUCCGCGUGGAAAGGAUGUUGGCAGCCCCGGUGACCUCGGAGUCACGGCUGGAUCCACCCUCUUGUCUGAUUUUCUUAACUCUACUACGGUAAGAAGAUGCCCUCCAUCAGCAGGCCGUGUCUGCUGGGACCUCUCUGGAGACUUCCUGAACCCUGUGGAUUUACAGUAAGAUGCAGUUUCCUGGGGAGUAAUUCUGGUGGAUACAAAUUCCGGAGUAUUACACCUGGCUUGCCUGGAGAUGUUACAAGUAGCUGGAUGGAUUCUUCAGCCUGGAUGCCCACUGAAAACAAGGACCGAAACUAAGAGGAUUGUAUCUCUACCCUUGACUCAAUGAGAAUGUUUGUUGUCAUCUCUCGGGCUACCUGGAGCUCCCUCUAAAAUGGGCUGGGACACUGCCUGAUUGAGGUGGCCAUUGAGAAUUCAAGUGUACCUCUUGGUCCCUGAUGCAGAAAUGAAGUCCCCAGCAUGCUCAAGAAGAGCUUCCUUGGAGGAUGAGAGGCAUGGGAAUCUAAGUAUACCCUUUAAGCGUUCCAGAAGGAUUUUGAGAUCCUUUCCUAAAUCAAAGGUGGAAUAUUUGGGGAUUUGGAAAAUUGAGCAUUUUUUUCCCCACUUGCUUGACUGUAAUGCUAACAUGCUCUCUCUGCUCCAACCUGGAGAAGCCAGUCUCUCAGAAGAACCAGUUGUGUUACUUUGCUGUGAGAUGCCUGCCCUAAGAGAGGAGCAGAAGGUCGGAACGGGUCCUCUAAUGUGAUAAUUAGAUGUGAAGCGUUGACUUAAGAGAUGCCAAGUAACUCAGCAGAUGUCACACAGACGAUAAAUAGCAAAGAUGGAAGUCUUCAUGCCGGAGGCAAUCCUAUAAGACAGCUGAGUUCUGCAGAGCUGGUAGGAGACAGACUUGCUCAGGUGAUAGAUCCAGCCAUGAUACUGACCCUAAGAGAAUGAGACGCUCUGCAGAAGACAGAAGAUUCCUGAAACUGGGAAAGGUGCCUAGAAAUCCUGAUAAGAGUGAAGAAGGGUACCUGGAGGCACAGCAGCCAUGUUGAACCUAUGAGGUGAUGAAAAACCAUGCAACUAGAAACCAGAAUGGAAGAAAAGAAGAAGCUGGAUCCUUGACUGAAUUGUCGAUGGGGGAUAGUCCAUCAUCCCAGGGCUAAGACCACCUCCAGAUUUCUUGUUUGGUGAAACAAGUCCUGAUUGUUUACAUUCCCUCGUGUUGAGCUGUCUCUUGCUUGUAGCUGAAAGCAUUUCUAAUAGAUAUUCAGAUUAUCAGCCUUAGCUCCAAGCUAGAAUACUCUAUGGGACCUUAGCUUCUCCAUGAAUUCCUUUGCUCAUCUGUGUAAUGCUCAAUAAAUGUAAAUUGAACCCUGAAUGAGGGACAAUGACACUA
Molecule: long non-coding RNA, 1524 nt
Filed under: Mus musculus (house mouse)
Lineage: Eukaryota; Metazoa; Chordata; Mammalia; Rodentia; Muridae
Description: Pvt1 oncogene
Rfam family: Pvt1 oncogene conserved region 1 (bases 44-200)
Source: RNAcentral